AGCAGUCCUUUGACAUUGCAGGAAUCAAACAACUGAACAAAGCUCAGCAGCCAAACAUUUCCCUAUUUAAAACAUGGCAUACUAAUUAUGCAUUUAGAAUAUAGCAAAAUAAACUACUGGAGCUGCAUUAACUAGUCUAUAAUUUAUAAAGUCCAGUCUAAUUUAUUAGAAAUCCCGGAAUCAAAUAGGGUACAAACUAUAAAUUACAUUAAUGCCUUAAAAUAAAUUACAACAAAAUGAAAAGAAGAGUUUCCUAAACUGCUACUGCUCCAGCUUUAAAUGAGCCAAGAUUCUCAUGAGUUUGACCAUGUGAAAGGGUCAGAUUCACAAAGCAUCUUCAAAUGUAAGGACCUACAAUGUUAUCAAGUUAAUCCUAAUUUAAAAUGAGCAAAGGAAAAUAAUGAUGUCCAUAAGUCUAACCAUGUUUUAAGGUUAUCCCUACAGACAAGCAAAGAUAUCCAAAACCAUGAUUUACUCCAUAGUUCUCAUCUCAGUAAAGAAGAAAAGAGGGGAAGGGAAAAUAACUUAGACAUAUUCUAAAGAAAUCAAGACUAUUAUGCACUAUUAAGAGAUGAAUCUGACCAUUUAAAAGGUCAUGACCACUUUCCUUUUGUGUUGCUCUAAGAGAGGAAUUUAGGACAUAGUUUUAUAGGUAUAUACACUGAUUCAGCAAUCAACUUUAUCAAGUUUUAACACAUGUACAGCACAAUAUCACAGAUUUCAUGAUUAAAUUCAACAGCCAUUUAAGCUAAUAUUAACACAUGGCUUAAUCAACCCUAGAUUCAACCAAAUCAUGAUUUUCAGAACUAACAUCAAAGAUCAGCUAACCAAACAAGUUCCAAAUACAGAUUUUUGAACUCAAAAUUGAUUCCAUUCAAGAUGAACAUUGUACAUACCUUGAAACUGAAAAAUAUAGCAGAGGAAUGACCAAAUAAAGGUCAAGAAGACCAAAAGAGAAAAGGAAACCAAACUUCAGCAGCAACAACCAGCAAAACACAUCAGUAAACCCAGACCAAAUGAAGAUAGCUUUGAAACCAAACAACCAGCUCAAGGAAACAAGAAAAUCUUCCACUUUAAACCAUAUUUUCAACUUGUAAAGAAUCAUGAAUGAGAAGUUUUGAAGUUUUUUUCAAGGUUUCCUGAAUCUGAAACUUUCAGAAAAAGAAAAAUAGAGCUUUUGUGCAGUAAAA
RNAcentral lists this long non-coding RNA (1190 nucleotides) under Nicotiana tabacum (common tobacco). RNAcentral describes it as "long non-coding RNA (NTAB_LNC017710)". Lineage: Eukaryota; Viridiplantae; Streptophyta; Magnoliopsida; Solanales; Solanaceae. The record is from RNAcentral.